Molecule: long non-coding RNA, 851 nt
Organism: Suricata suricatta (meerkat)
Lineage: Eukaryota; Metazoa; Chordata; Mammalia; Carnivora; Herpestidae
Exons: 3
Source: RefSeq, a predicted model, not a curated record
UCAGCAGCAGGGCUGAGACUCCAGGAUUGAUCCAGGAAGCCAGCACUCCACACGCCAGGGGGUGGGGCCAAGACCACGCCCGGGUGGGACCGAGACUCCACGCGUGGGGGCAGGGCUCUGAGUCCACGCACAGCACAGAACUGCAAGCCUGCACUUGGCCGUCUCUCAUCUUGGCCUCACACUGAGCUCUUGUCACUUAAAUCAGGUCUGGACCCCAGGGUUGCCAUGGCCCGGGAAUCUACAUUCUCAAGCACCCAUCGCUACAAUUCUGAUAAUCCAUACUGGCUUGGAGAAACACUGAACUAGAUGUGGGAGCCCCUGGGAACCUGAGCCCCACGCCAAGGGCUGAGGUGCCGCCUGUGGAGAGAGUCAGGUGUCACCCCCAGUUAUCAGUACAGUCUUCCCUUCAUUUUACUGAGGACUGACUGGCAUCAGACUUCGAGGACAGCGUCCGCCUGCCUCUGAGAGUCAGCUUCUCUUCUGUCGACAAGAUUUUUCUACCAGUGACUGUUGGUUAUCUUGCAACAUCUGUACCCAGGACACAUUUGUCCACUUGGAAGGACGAACCCUUUUGAAGUGGCUACACAUUUUCAGUCCCUUCACCUGUCUGGGACUGCACAGCUCCCAAUAUACAGUCUAUAGGUCUCAUCUAUUUAAAUUUUAAAGAUCCUGGACUUUGAAUUCAAGAUGGCAGACUGCUGUUUGGAGGGCAGUCUGGCUGUCUCGAUUAAAAUUUAGCAUCUGCAAUAAGAUAAAAUGAGCACACACUGCCUCCCCCUCCCUCUCUCUAAAUCACAAGCAAUGACCAAAAAGACACAGAGUUGGAAAAUAAAAAUAACCACAGUGGAAAA